RNAcentral lists this long non-coding RNA (2342 nucleotides) under Triticum aestivum (bread wheat). RNAcentral describes it as "long non-coding RNA (TAES_LNC001050)". Lineage: Eukaryota; Viridiplantae; Streptophyta; Magnoliopsida; Poales; Poaceae. The record is from RNAcentral.
AUUUUUAGACCUGGUUAUGAGGUAAAAUUACAAUAGUUAAAUCUUUUAUCUUUAUGUUGCCUGAUCUGAAGUCGGGUUUCUUUUCAAGCAUGUCUAACAUCUACAGGGAAUUAUUGAGAAAAAUAAUGUAAGGAGAUUUUUUGUGGUACAUGUGGAUGAACAUAUAGUCGGUUAUUAUCUGCUGCCCUUCUUUUAUUAUAUAUGUGGCUCAUUGUAUGUAGGCUUAUCUAUGCAUUAUUAUUUGAUGCUCUAUCAUGUUAGUUUCCUUGGUCUGGUUUUUGAGCCGUGCCAUAAUUUUUUUCUUGCUGGCAGCAAUAGCGGGAGUGCCAUAUUGGACAAAGGAAGAGGAUGAGAAGAAAUGAGGCUUGGGCGUGAGUGGGUGCUGGGUGGCGGCGGCCUUCCACUACCUGCCCCAUGGCACCUCACUCUACCGCGGUGGCAAGUAUGAUUGACUUCCACAACUCCAGCCUCUAUGUGCAUGUAUAUACGCCACCGACCACGAACACUAGAUUUAGCUUGCUUGUAUAAUAUAAUGUGACUUAUGCACUGUCCUCUCAUUUAUUUACAUAUAAUGGAGAUUUCAAAUAUGUUGUUAUGCUGGAGGACGAGUCUCCUUAGGCCAGCAACAGUGGGGAGCUACAAAAUUACCUUACCUGAUCUGAACUGUGAGCACCUGAUGAUUAUCUGAACUGUGAGCACCUGAUGAUUUUGCGUGUGCAAAUAAAUGGUGGUCAAAAUAAUACUUUUGGUUGUGACUUACUAUUCCUUAGCCUAUAUGUAUGUCUUAGUUAAACUUGAAUCAUUGGUUUCUCCUAUGAUGCUAUGUGAUUCAGUAAUAAAUUAAUAGACUUGAAUAUUUCUUGUUCGGAUCAGUCUUGUGUGGAAGAUAUGACCUUCUUUGAAUACUCUGCUCAUUAUAUGUUGCUCAAGGGUUCCCCUUCAUAGCUCUUGUUCUUGUUUUUAUUUAUCUAAGAAACAUCUUGCAUGCUACAAAAGUCAUAUUAGCUAAACUUGCCUCGUAGUAGUCUCCAUAAAAGCGGUUGUAUUUUGAUUUUAAAUCUAUUUGUUUGCUGCAGCGGAAUGCUCAUCACCUCGUAGGGAAGAUUUGAACCAAGUGACCGCAAGGAUUGUUUGACAAUGUGUAGGUCAAUCUCACCCUUGUGGAGAAAUACUAUUUUUUCUCCAGAUUUAGCCUACACUGUCCAGGUUGUAUGCUUCUUCUGAGAUCCCAUCAAGGUAAUGCUCUUCCCCCACAUGUUGUUCUUGCAAGGAAAGUAUAAACAAGAUACAAGUGAGUGUUUAUGGGGUUGCUUGUUCGUAUGAUUUGUUCAUGUGCUUCAUGUUAUAAUUCCAUUCAAGUAAAGACCAAAGAAACAAGCUACCCUCUUUACUAUUGAAGUUUUGCAACCAUGUUAAUAGUUAAUGCAAAUUGCUGGACUCUUCUGGGAAGAUAAUUUCAAUAGUUUAUUUCUGUAACUACUUGUUAGCCUUUUCUUGUUCAACAAUAAAGGUUGAGAUCCCUACAAGAAAUGGUUCUGAUUGGUACUCCUUAGAUUUAAACUAAUGAAUUAUGUUAAGUUUUAUAUAUGAGGUUGUGUUUCUGCCAUGUACACUGUGUGUGCAUGUGUUGUUUGUGUCGAGGUUAACUUAUAGUUUGCAAUCAGUUUGGUUUGGUUUUUUAUGAGCUGUGUUGUGUUGUGUUGUGCUGCUCAUGGUUGUGUUGUUUAUUGUAUUGUGUUAAAGGUGCAUGAUUCACAUAUCUUGAUCCUGGAAGUUAUUGAUGUGAGCUUUUUCUGCACAAAGUGUUGAGAGCUACAUAGGAAUAAUCUUGCAAGUCCUGAAAUUUCUAUGGGAGCAUGUCUUAAUGUUUUGUGUUUCUAUUCAUUGAUGUGAACUCUUAAGUCUCACUGGUGAAUGUAAAACCACCAUUUGUCUUUCGUUUGCUCAUAUUUUGUAUGCUUUCUUAUGUUUGAUUAUUCCAAUUACCAGGAUGGUCUGAAGCACUCAGAACAAGCGGAGGGUAGGAGGGCACUAGAAGCUUUGUUUCUCAUUGAUGUUAUGUGUGAUCAACUAAAACUUGUGCUUCUCAUCCAAUCUUUGUAGAACUAUGUUGUUGUGCGCUUGUGCACUUGUUGGUUCCUUUUGUUGUGCACUUGCACUGGUAGAACUACUUUUCUUUGCACUUUUAGAAUUAUUUUGAUGUGCACUUGUUGGGCCUUGAACCUUGGAUGUGUAGAGGAGUCGAUGGAUGAUGUAUUUUAUUUCAUGUGAUUUGCUACUUGUAGGAGAUAUGCCCUAGAGGCAAUAAUAAAUGAUAUUAUUUAUCUCCGAGUUCAUAAUUA